UGGCGGACGGGUGAGUAACGCGUGGGUAACCUGCCUCAUACAGGGGGAUAACAGUUGGUAACGGCUGCUAAUACCGCAUAAGCGCACAGUACCGCAUGGUACCGUGUGAAAAACUCCGGUGGUAUGAGAUGGACCCGCGUCUGAUUAGCUAGUUGGUGGGGUAACGGCCUACCAAGGCGACGAUCAGUAGCCGACCUGAGAGGGUGACCGGCCACAUUGGGACUGAGACACGGCCCAA
Molecule: ribosomal RNA, 238 nt
Filed under: uncultured bacterium
Lineage: Bacteria
Description: partial 16S ribosomal RNA
Rfam family: Bacterial small subunit ribosomal RNA
Source: RNAcentral